This 460-nucleotide ribosomal RNA is filed under the name uncultured bacterium. RNAcentral's name for it is "partial 16S ribosomal RNA". It matches the Rfam family "Bacterial small subunit ribosomal RNA", at positions 338 to 795 of the family's 1533-position model. The record is from RNAcentral.
CCUACGGGUGGCAUCAUUGAGGCAUCUUGGUCAAUGGGCGCGAGCCUGAACCAGCCAAGUCGCGUGAGGGAAUAAGGCCCUACGGGUCGUAAACCUCUUUUGCCGGUUCUCCCGGGCGGGGACGUGUCCCGGCCCGGAGAGUACCCGGAGAAAAAGCAUCGGCUAACUCCGUGCCAGCAGCCGCGGUAAUACGGAGGAUGCGAGCGUUAUCCGGAUUUAUUGGGUUUAAAGGGUGCGUAGGCGGGCUUUUAAGUCAGCGGUAAAAAUUCGGGGCUCAACCCCGUCCGGCCGUUGAAACUGGGGGCCUUGAGUGGGCGAGAAGAAGGCGGAAUGCGUGGUGUAGCGGUGAAAUGCAUAGAUAUCACGCAGAACCCCGAUUGCGAAGGCAGCCUUCCGGCGCCCUACUGACGCUGAGGCACGAAAGUGCGGGGAUCGAACAGGAUUAGAUACCCCUGUAGUC